GAUGAACGCUAGCGGGAGGCUUAAUACAUGCAAGUCGAGGGGUAACAUGAGAGCUUGCUCUUGAUGACGACCGGCGCACGGGUGAGUAACGCGUACACAAUCUGCCCUUAAGAGGAGAAUAGCCCUGGGAAACUGGGAUUAAUGCUCCAUAGUAUCUUAAUACCGCAUGGUAUAAAGAUUAAAGUUCCGAUGCUUAAGGAUGAGUGUGCGUCCCAUUAGCUUGUUGGUAAGGUAACGGCUUACCAAGGCAACGAUGGGUAGGGGGCGUGAGAGCGUGAUCCCCCACACGGGUACUGAGACACGGACCCGACUCCUACGGGAGGCAGCAGUAAGGAAUAUUGGACAAUGCCCGAAAGGGUGAUCCAGCCAUCCCGCGUGCAGGAAGAAUGCCCUAUGGGUUGUAAACUGCUUUUAUAUACCAAGAAACCCCGGGAUUCAUCCCGGGCUGACGGUAGUAUAUGAAUAAGCACCGGCUAACUCCG
RNAcentral lists this ribosomal RNA (482 nucleotides) under uncultured Saprospiraceae bacterium. RNAcentral describes it as "bacterial SSU rRNA". It matches the Rfam family "Bacterial small subunit ribosomal RNA", at positions 28 to 505 of the family's 1533-position model. The record is from RNAcentral. Lineage: Bacteria; Pseudomonadati; Bacteroidota; Saprospiria; Saprospirales; Saprospiraceae.